Molecule: ribosomal RNA, 261 nt
Filed under: uncultured archaeon
Lineage: Archaea
Description: partial 16S ribosomal RNA
Rfam family: Archaeal small subunit ribosomal RNA
Source: RNAcentral
CGUCUACAUUAGAUACCCCCGUAGUCCCAGCCGUAAACUAUGCGCGUUAGGUGUAUCGGUGACCACGAGUUACCGAGGUGCCGAAGGGAAACCGUGAAACGUGCCGCCUGGGAAGUACGGUCGCAAGGCUGAAACUUAAAGGAAUUGGCGGGGAGCACCACAACGGGUGGAGCCUGCGGUUUAAUUGGACUCAACGCCGGGAAGCUCACCGGAUAAGACAGCGGAAUGAUUGCCGGGCUGAAGACUCUGCAUGACUAGCUG